This 432-nucleotide ribosomal RNA is filed under the name uncultured bacterium. RNAcentral's name for it is "partial 16S ribosomal RNA". It matches the Rfam family "Bacterial small subunit ribosomal RNA", at positions 29 to 506 of the family's 1533-position model. The record is from RNAcentral.
AACGAACGCUGGCGGCAUGCCUAACACAUGCAAGUCGAACGAGACCUUCGGGUCUAGUGGCGCACGGGUGCGUAACGCGUGGGAACCUGCCCUUAGGUUCGGAAUAACUCCCCGAAAGGGGUGCUAAUACCGGAUAAUGUCUUCGGCCCAAUGAUUUAUUGCCUUUGGUUGGGCCCGCGUUGGAUUAGCUAGUUGGUAGGGUAAAAGCCUACCAAGGCGACGAUCCAUAGCUGGUCUGAGAGGAUGAUCAGCAACACUGCGACUGAGACACGGCCCAGACUCCUACGGGAGGCAGCAGUGGGGAAUAUGGGACAAUGGGCGAAAGCCUGAUCCAGCAAUGCCGCGUGAGUGAGGAAGGCCUUAGGGUUGUAAAGCUCUUUUACCCGGGAUGAUAAUGACAGUACCGGGAGAAUAAGCACCGGCUAACUCCGU